Molecule: ribosomal RNA, 301 nt
Filed under: uncultured bacterium
Lineage: Bacteria
Description: partial 16S ribosomal RNA
Rfam family: Bacterial small subunit ribosomal RNA
Source: RNAcentral
CAGCCGCCGCGGUAAUACGAAGGGUGCAAGCGUUAAUCGGAAUUACCGGGCGUAAAGCGUGCGUAGGCGGUUUGUUAAGUCUGUUGUGAAAUCCCCGGGCUCAACCUGGGAAUGGCAAUGGAUACUGGCAAGCUAGAGUGUGUCAGAGGAUGGUGGAAUUCCCGGUGUAGCGGUGAAAUGCGUAGAGAUCGGGAGGAACAUCAGUGGCGAAGGCGGCCAUCUGGGACAACACUGACGCUGAGGCACGAAAGCGUGGGGAGCAAACAGGAUUAGAUACCCGCGUAGUCCCUGUCUCUUAUAC